AGUGAACGCUGGCGGUAGGCCUAACACAUGCAAGUCGAACGGCAGCACAGAGGAGCUUGCUCCUUGGGUGGCGAGUGGCGGACGGGUGAGGAAUACAUCGGAAUCUACUCUGUCGUGGGGGAUAACGUAGGGAAACUUACGCUAAUACCGCAUACGACCUACGGGUGAAAGCAGGGGACCUUCGGGCCUUGCGCGAUUGAAUGCGCCGAUGUCGGAUUAGCUAGUUGGCGGGGUAAAGGCCCACCAAGGCGCAGAUCCGUAGCUGGGCUGAGAGGUUGAUCAACCACACUGGGACUGAGACACGGUCCAGACUCCUACGGGAGGCAGCAGUGGGGAAUAUUGGACAGUGGGCGCAAGCCUGAUCCAGCCAUACCGCGUGGGUGAAGAAGGCCUUCGGGUUGUAAAGCCCUUUUGUUGGGAAAGGAAUCCAGCUGGCUAAUACCCGGUUGGGAUGACGGUACCCAAAGAAUAAGCACCGGCUAACUUCGUGCCAGCCGCCGCAGUAA
RNAcentral lists this ribosomal RNA (506 nucleotides) under uncultured bacterium. RNAcentral's name for it is "partial 16S ribosomal RNA". It matches the Rfam family "Bacterial small subunit ribosomal RNA", at positions 29 to 523 of the family's 1533-position model. The record is from RNAcentral.